Phalacrocorax carbo (great cormorant) is the source of this 302-nucleotide non-coding RNA. NCBI's taxonomy places the organism in Eukaryota, Metazoa, Chordata, Aves, Suliformes, Phalacrocoracidae. The record is from RefSeq and is a predicted model, not a curated record.
CAUACUCUCUUGUCUCUGCAGGAAAAUCCGUAUUUGUUCACAUAUAGAAAUAGUAACUACUCGUUUUCCCUGGAGACAUCAAACACCAAACAAACAUCUCAGGAGAGGAUUUAUGGAACAAAUAUUCCCUGUUUUGACCGGAGUCCCUCUGAUACAGUUCCAGUUUCAGUUCAUAAUCUGAAACCGGCGGAUAUUCGGGUGAUCGCUGCCCUGGGAGAUUCACUCACAGCAGGUAAUGGGGCAGCAUCCAAACCUCAUGAUAUUCUGGAUGUCCUGACUCAAUACCGUGGUGUUUCUUGGAG